CUGGCGUCUUCGGCGUCCGCAUUGUAAUCUCAAGAAGUGUUUUCCGCUUCGGACCAUGCCUAAGUCCCUUGGAAAAGGGCAUCAUAGAGGGUGAUAAUCCCGUACAUGGCAUGGAGCGCCCGAAGCUUUGUGAUACGCUUUCUAAGAGUCGAGUUGUUUGGGAAUGCAGCUCAAAAUGGGUGGUAAAUGCCAUCUAAGGCUAAAUAUUGGGGAGAGACCGAUAGCGAACAAGUACAGUGAUGGAAAGAUGAAAAGAACUUUGAAAAGAGAGUUAAACAGUACGUGAAAUUGCCAAAAGGGAAGGGUAGGAGGUCAGAGAUGCGGCCUGGGAUUCAGCCUUGCUUUUGCUUGGUGUUUUUCCCAGAUUGCAGGCCAACGUCGGUUUUGGGCACUGGAGAAGGGUAGGAGGAACGUGGCACCUCUCGGGGUGUGUUAUAGCCUCCUACUGGAUACAGCGACCGAGACCGAGGACAGCAGCGUACUCGCAAGAGCGGGCCUUCGGGCACCUUUACGCUUAGGGCGUUGGCAUAAUGGCCCUCUACCACC
This 546-nucleotide ribosomal RNA is filed under the name Pseudozyma sp. DMKU-SP49. RNAcentral's name for it is "LSU rRNA". It matches the Rfam family "Eukaryotic large subunit ribosomal RNA", at positions 122 to 649 of the family's 3401-position model. The record is from RNAcentral. RNAcentral also lists the same sequence under 2 other names. Lineage: Eukaryota; Fungi; Basidiomycota; Ustilaginomycetes; Ustilaginales; Ustilaginaceae.